GACGAACGCUGGCGGCGUGCUUAACACAUGCAAGUCGAACGGAAAGGCCCUGCUUUUGUGGGGUGCUCGAGUGGCGAACGGGUGAGUAACACGUGAGUAACCUGCCCUUGACUUUGGGAUAACUUCAGGAAACUGGGGCUAAUACCGGAUAGGAGCUCCUGCUGCAUGGUGGGGGUUGGAAAGUUUCGGCGGUUGGGGAUGGACUCGCGGCUUAUCAGCUUGUUGGUGGGGUAGUGGCUUACCAAGGCUUUGACGGGUAGCCGGCCUGGGAGGGUGACCGGCCACAUGGGGACUGAGAUACGGACCAGACUCCUACGGGAGGCAGCAGUGGGGAAUAUUGCACAAUGGGCGGAAGCCUGAUGCAGCAACGCCGCGUGCGGGAUGACGGCCUUCGGGUUGUAAACCGCUUUCGCCUGUGACGAAGCGUGAGUGACGGUAAUGGGUAAAGAAGCACCGGCUAACUACGUG
RNAcentral lists this ribosomal RNA (468 nucleotides) under uncultured bacterium. RNAcentral's name for it is "partial 16S ribosomal RNA". It matches the Rfam family "Bacterial small subunit ribosomal RNA", at positions 28 to 507 of the family's 1533-position model. The record is from RNAcentral.